RNAcentral lists this ribosomal RNA (452 nucleotides) under uncultured bacterium. RNAcentral's name for it is "bacterial SSU rRNA". It matches the Rfam family "Bacterial small subunit ribosomal RNA", at positions 29 to 524 of the family's 1533-position model. The record is from RNAcentral.
AACGAACGCUGGCGGCAUGCCUAACACAUGCAAGUCGAACGAGACCUUCGGGUCUAGUGGCGCACGGGUGCGUAACGCGUGGGAAUCUGCCCCUUGGUUCGGAAUAACUUCGGGAAACUGAAGCUAAUACCGGAUAAUGACGUAAGUCCAAAGAUUUAUCGCCAAGGGAUGAGCCCGCGUAGGAUUAGCUAGUUGGUGGGGUAAAGGCUCACCAAGGCGACGAUCCUUAGCUGGUCUGAGAGGAUGAUCAGCCACACUGGGACUGAGACACGGCCCAGACUCCUACGGGAGGCAGCAGUGGGGAAUAUUGGACAAUGGGCGAAAGCCUGAUCCAGCAAUGCCGCGUGAGUGAUGAAGGCCUUAGGGGUUGUAAAAGCUCUUUUACCCGGGAUGAUAAUGACAGUACCGGGAGAAUAAGCUCCGGCUAACUCCGUGCCAGCAGCCGCGGUAAU